RNAcentral lists this long non-coding RNA (4116 nucleotides) under Triticum aestivum (bread wheat). Its description in RNAcentral is "long non-coding RNA (TAES_LNC022772)". The stretch from base 3593 to 3666 matches the Rfam family "tRNA". Lineage: Eukaryota; Viridiplantae; Streptophyta; Magnoliopsida; Poales; Poaceae. The record is from RNAcentral.
UUUUUUUUCUAAGUUGCAAGUCUACCCUCAACUUGCAAUUCGGGCCUGACCUUUUGUCGUAGUUGUAAUCCCACCCUCGACUCGCAACUGGACUUUAACAUUUUUUUUGUCUACGUUGCAAGUCCAUCCUCAAAUCGUAACCGUAGCCCGAACUUUUUUUGUCCCAAUUUUAAGUCUAUCCUCGACUUGCAACUGAGGCCCAACUUUUUUUUCCGCUAGUUGCAAGUUCAGCUUCAACUCGCAACUAGAGCCUGAUCUUUUUUUAGUCUCAAUGGCAUGUCGACCCUUGACUCGCAACCGGGGCUUGAGUUUUUUUGUCCUCGUUACAAGUCCAUCAUCGACUCACAACUAGACUCGACAUUUUUUUCUGGUUGAUAGUCUAAUCUUGACUCGCAACUGGGUCAACAUAUUGUCCCAAUUGCAAGUCUACCGUCGACUUGCAACUGGGCCCAACUUUUUUUUUGUCCCAGUUGCAAGUCCACCCUUGACUCGCAAAUGGGGGCCCGACCUUUUUAUGUCCCAGUUAUAAGUCCACCAUCGUCUCGCAACUGGGUCUAACAUUUUUUGUACUAGUUGCAAGUCCACCAAGAACUCGCAACUCGAGCACGACCUUUUUUUGUCCCAGUUGCAAGUCCAUCAUUGACUCGCAACUGGGCCCUGAUCUUUUUUUGUCCCAGUUGCAAGUUCACCCUUGACUCGCAACUGGGGUCCGACCUUCUUUUUCAGUUGCAAGUCUACAAUCGACUCGCAACUGGAGCCCGAUCUUUUUUUGUCUAAGUUGCAAUCUCACCCUCCACUCGCAACUGGUGCCCGACUUUUUUUUGUCCCAGUUGGAAGUCCAUCCUCAACACGCAACGUGGGCACGACUUUUUUCGUCCCAAUUGCAAGUCCACUGUGAACUUGUAACUGGGCUCCCACCCUUUUUUUUCCGAGUUGCGACACAGUAGGUGCGUGACUUUUUCAUGCGCGACAAACAGACAAAAACAAGUAAGAGUAUAUUCACCUCAUCCUAAAAAAUAUAUUCACCUCUUUCUAAAUAUAUAUUCACCUCGUUCUACAAUUUAUUCACUGAUUUUUUUUAAAAAUGUUUACAUUGUCACUCGAGUGCUUGUUAAUGUGUUAAGUGAUCCCUAGUAUAGGACGUUUGUGUCCACUGAGAAAGGAAGUCAACACACCAGUACGUCGUUGACGCAAAAUUCCUGUAGCAAAUCGUGUGUCACUGUAGACUACACUGUAGCACUGCGGCUCAACAUCAGCGACUCAACGCCCGGUUCGUGCAUGGGUGACAAGGAAAAAAUAAAGACAAAUAAUAUGUCACAUCUAGAUGAGCUAUAGACACACCCUUUUUUUUUCAAUUAACAGAGCUAAGCACAACCUCCCUAGAUGAGAAAAAAAGAGCAAUUGAUCGAUCAAUAGCUUUUCCUCCUAUUUAAUGAAGCCACGUGGACGUCCCACUAUGUGAAAGCUCUCUUCCCCUCCCGGUAAUAACCUUCCUAAAUUAAAUUGGAGCUUACAUACCGGAUUAGUAGCUCCGAAGCCCAAAGGUCAUGGAUACCUGCGGAUGUUGUCUUUUCAUCUUCAGCCCUUUACCAACAAGUAUAUAAUUCCCCCUCUGUAUGCCGGAGAGAUGCACUGGAAAUAGCCACGUUUUCUCGCGGAUAAAGAGCACCGGGCCGAGCUGCACAACAGCGUCCAAUUCCAGUGGUCCAGAUAUGGGAGAUUGGGUUUCACAGGAGGAGGUUCUCCCUUGCGCAUUCUUCUCGAGCGUCUAUUCAAGGCAGCAUUUGGGUACUUUUUUUGUCAAACCUUUGGAUCUACAAGCAAGUAAAUUCCAUCAUCAAGAGCGUCCUUGCAAUUUGUUCUCCAUUUCUCUAUCCAGAUAACAUGCAUGCUUAUCUUUUCAUCUCUGUCCCGCCAUACAUCAAGAAUUAGGGAAGGGUCAGAAUUUUUAUGAAGGAAGCGUCAGAAUUGGGUCAUUGUGUUUAGCCUGCCCUAGAGCUACUGCUGGCGUUAUCCAUUGAAGCUUCGUGUUUAGGAGGAGGCACAACCUGUCUCGGUUUGAUGAAAGCUUUUAUCUGAUUCGAAUAUGCAGAUUGCAGGUAAAUUCGUCUUUGUUGGUAUCUAAGGCAGUAGGUCAACAAAGAGAGUGGAUAAAAUGUACGCUCACGUUUGGAUUUGAAGGCCUGUUCCCAAUUGUAUAGGAUUUGCCAUCUUCUGCACUGGCAAAUACGCACCCAAUUGAGUAGAGGAAGAGGCAGGGGAAGAAUACUCGGUAGUUGCAAGCAAAUUCCAGAAGCUAGCCACCUGUAAAAGCGAGAAAUUUUUCACCUUUGUUUAGCAAUCAGGACCCGAUGGAGAAUCCUACUUACAGAUAAUGAGUAUUUUUUAUGUCAACGAGUCAUCAUUGUUCCUUUUGUCAUGUGGUUACGCAAAGUGUUCUGAAAAUAAAUUUGAUUAUGCAAAAUCUCAUGCAUGGGUCUUCUCGAUCUCAUCGUCUCUUUGUUACUCCCUCAGUCCUAUAAUAUAUUGUUUGUAAUAACAACAUAUUAUAACCAAUGUAUUCAUAUAUUGUUAUUACAACCAAUGUAUUCAUGUAUUGUUAUUACAAUCAAUGUAUUCAUAUAAUGUUUGUAAUAACAUCUGAUAUCAUGGUACAGAGGGAGUACAUAACUACAUAUUACAAUAUAUUUCAUAUAAUUUAAAAUUGUACAUACAUACGGCAUAUAUUUUUAAUAUUACCCGAAACAUAUUUUUAUGUUGUGCUAGAAACAUUCUGAUUCUUUAUUAACUAUUCCGGUUGGCAAUUCCCUCAUGAUAGAAAGUGAUACACGUUAUUUAUGUACUGAAGUUUACUAAGAAUUUUUAACCCCCAUUUAUCUUAACAUGAUAUUCUUUUUUUGUGUGCGAAACUUGACAUGAUAUUCUAACUUUGAUAAAUUACAGUUUCCUAUUUGCAUAGGAUUAGUAUCAGUUGCAAGAAAAGUUUUGUAGAUGGAAUGCCUAUUGCCUGCAAUAUGGUAUUGUUUAGCUGAAACAGUUAUUCUACUUCUUCACGGCCCAAUUUAUCUUUCUAUCGGACAACUUUCCUACCAGGUCUCACAAGCAGCAAUAUAAUUUGUAAUUAAAUUCAAUUUAUGUCUGCUUUUUAGAGCUAUAUGAUUUCCGAAUGUCAGUUUUCCUUCCCUUUCUUUAGCUUUUAUUCUUUCGAUGUAUCUAUUCUUAAUAACCAAAUGUCCCGCAACAACGUGCGGGGUAUUGUCUAGUAUGUGGAUAAACUUGGUCAAACAGAGAGUAGUUUGACUUCUAAAUGAAAAGCAGAGCUAUUGCCUUGCUAGCAAAAGGCGGAGAAAAAAAAAGUAGAGCAUCCUAGCAAAUGAACAAGUUUUACCUUUCACUCUGUAAAAGGCAAGAUGAAGGGUUUGUAACGCUUUCUACUUGGGUUAUCAGCAGGGAAGUUUUAUUACAAAUUUUACCUUUCCCGGUGGUGGUGUUCACUCUGUAAAAAGGCCAGGCGAAGCAUUUGAAAUACCGUGUGGUUGCCAAGAGAAAUGUUUUAUUAUAAAUAGCGUAUUGGUUCGUUUCUAACAACAUCGUCUGGGUGGUGUAGUUGGUUAUCACGUUAGUCUCACACACUAAAGGUCCCCAGUUCGAACCUGGGCUCAGACAAUUUUGUCACUUUUUUUGUGCGUUGCUGCCAUCUCUUUUUUUGUGUCCCUUGCAUAUUUUUGCCAUAGCUCCAUAACGUUUUGCGUCAUCUUGGUCUUUGCUCGGGAGAAGAUUUUGGCAGUGAUGAUUUUCUGAUUUUGGCAGUGAUGAUUUUCUGACAACGGCAGCAUAUACCAGGAUCAUGAGCCCAACGGGACGGUGACAAAUAGCAAGUCGUACUAGUACAUGUUAGUAUAUGGCAAAAAUGCUCAAUCUCUAAUGUGGGAGUACAUUAGGACAAAGUUUAGCUGAUGUAACAACUCCGCUGCUUAAAGCUAACCCAGAAGCAGUCAUACUAUGAAUAAUCGGACGAACAGAUGACCCAGCUGCUUUUUUCUGUUAUAUUGUUCUUGUAAUUUCACGCUAUCAGCUAUAGAACAGCCCUAAACUGCUGGGUGAUCGAAAAACUUC